CCUACGGGAGGCAGCAGUGAGGAAUAUUGGUCAAUGGGCGAGAGCCUGAACCAGCCAAGUCGCGUGAAGGAUGACGGCCCUACGGGUUGUAAACUUCUUUUGUCAGGGAGCAAUUGGGUCCACGUGUGGGCUUAGCGAGAGUACCUGAAGAAAAAGCAUCGGCUAACUCCGUGCCAGCAGCCGCGGUAAUACGGAGGAUGCGAGCGUUAUCCGGAUUUAUUGGGUUUAAAGGGUGCGUAGGCGGUCCGUUAAGUCAGCGGUAAAAUUGCGGGGCUCAACCCCGUCGAGCCGUUGAAACUGGCAGACUUGAGUUGGCGAGAAGUACGCGGAAUGCGCGGUGUAGCGGUGAAAUGCAUAGAUAUCGCGCAGAACUCCGAUUGCGAAGGCAGCGUACCGGCGCCAGACUGACGCUGAGGCACGAAAGCGUGGGGAUCGAACAGGAUUAGAUACCCCUGUAGUC
RNAcentral lists this ribosomal RNA (460 nucleotides) under Escherichia coli. RNAcentral's name for it is "bacterial SSU rRNA". It matches the Rfam family "Bacterial small subunit ribosomal RNA", at positions 338 to 795 of the family's 1533-position model. Lineage: Bacteria; Pseudomonadati; Pseudomonadota; Gammaproteobacteria; Enterobacterales; Enterobacteriaceae. The record is from RNAcentral.